UACCAUCACCCCGAGUGGUCGGGACGAUUAUUGGGCCUAAAGCAUCCGUAGCCGGUUUUACAAGUCCCCCGUUAAAUCCAGCUGCUUAACAGAUGGGCUGCGGAGGAUACUAUAAGACUAGGAGGCAGGAGAGGCAAGCGGUACUCAGUGGGUAGGGGUAAAAUCCGUUGAUCCAUUGAAGACCACCAGUGGCGAAGGCGGCUUGCCAGAAUGCGCUCGACGGUGAGGGAUGAAAGCUGGGGGAGCAAACCGG
This 253-nucleotide ribosomal RNA is filed under the name uncultured bacterium. Its description in RNAcentral is "partial 16S ribosomal RNA". It matches the Rfam family "Archaeal small subunit ribosomal RNA", at positions 474 to 727 of the family's 1478-position model. The record is from RNAcentral.